Molecule: small nucleolar RNA, 79 nt
Organism: Rhododendron vialii
Lineage: Eukaryota; Viridiplantae; Streptophyta; Magnoliopsida; Ericales; Ericaceae
Product: small nucleolar RNA U83
Exons: 1
Source: RefSeq, a predicted model, not a curated record
UGCCAAUGAUGAGGAAAAUGUAUUGUUAAUGUAUGAAUAAUCAUGAUUACAACCGUACUACUGCCUUCCUUCUGAGGUU